CCUACGGGGGGCUGCAGUAGGGAAUAUUGCACAAUGGGCGAAAGCCUGAUGCAGCAACGCCGCGUGCGCGAUGAAGGUCUUCGGAUCGUAAAGCGCUUUUCUGAGAGAUGAGAAAGGACAGUAUCUCAGGAAUAAGUCUCGGCUAACUACGUGCCAGCAGCCGCGGUAAAACGUAGGAGGCGAGCGUUAUCCGGAUUCACUGGGCGUAAAGCGCGUGCAGGUGGUUCGGUAAGUUGGGCGUGAAAUCUCCCGGCUCAACUGGGGGAAGGCGGUCGAUACUACCGGGCUUGAGAGCAGAAGAGGAAGAUGGAAUUCCCGGUGUAGUGGUGAAAUGCGUAGAUAUCGGGAGGAACACCAGUGGCGAAGGCGAUCUUCUGGUCUGUUUCUGACACUCAGACGCGACAGCUAGGGGAGUGAACGGGAUUAGAUACCCCGGUAGUC
This 441-nucleotide ribosomal RNA is filed under the name uncultured bacterium. RNAcentral describes it as "partial 16S ribosomal RNA". It matches the Rfam family "Bacterial small subunit ribosomal RNA", at positions 338 to 795 of the family's 1533-position model. The record is from RNAcentral.